AAUAUUGUACAAUGGGCGAAAGCCUGAUCCAGACAUGCCGCGUGUGUGAAGAAGGUCUUCGGUUUGUAACACACUUUAAGUUGGGAGGCAGGGCAGUAAUUUAUUACCUUGCUGUUUUUACGUUACCGACAUAAUAAGCACCGACUCACUUCCUUCCUGCAGCCGUGGUAAUACGAAGGGUUCAAGCGUUAAGCGGAAUUACUGGACUUAAAGCGCGCGUAGGUGGUUUGUUAAGUUGGAAGUGAGAGCCCCGGGCUCAACCUGGGAACUGCGUUCAAAACUGGCAAGCUAGAGUAUGGCAGAGGGUGGUGGAAUUGCCUGUGUAGCGGUGAAAUGCGUAGAUAUAGGAAGGAAAACCAGUGGCGAAGGCGACCACCUGGGCUAAUACUGACACUGAGGUGCGAAAGCGUGGGGAGCAAACAGG
Molecule: ribosomal RNA, 424 nt
Filed under: uncultured bacterium
Lineage: Bacteria
Description: partial 16S ribosomal RNA
Rfam family: Bacterial small subunit ribosomal RNA
Source: RNAcentral